Penaeus chinensis is the source of this 542-nucleotide long non-coding RNA. RefSeq lists it as uncharacterized. NCBI's taxonomy places the organism in Eukaryota, Metazoa, Arthropoda, Malacostraca, Decapoda, Penaeidae. The transcript is spliced from 2 exons. The record is from RefSeq and is a predicted model, not a curated record.
AGACUAUUCCGGAGAGACAGAGGACCAAGGUCGCGAACUCUGCUAUAUAAAGUCCGCUCUGAGAUGAGCCUGGGUAUCAGUUGAAACAACCUCUUCUCUAGAGCAACGAAACCUCAACACUCAUCAUGAAGUUGAUCAGUCUCGCACUGGCUCUCCUGCUGGUCUUGUCCGCCGUCCUGUCGCCCAGCCAAGCCUCGCCGUACGCCCGAGCAGACCCGAAUCCGUUCUUCUUCAAAAAGAAGUAUGGCUAUGGCAGCUAUGGCUAUGGCGGCUAUGGCCUACGGCGGUUAUGGCCACGGCGGUUAUGGCCACGGCGGAUAUGGCGGUUAUAGCCACGGCGGUUAUGGCGGUUACGGCGGUUACGGCAUAAGGAAAUACUGGUGAAGGAAGAGACAGGCAGACUCCUCAAGCAAGAUGUUGAAGAGCUAAGAUUUUCACUCGCUCUACGGAAAACAAUUAUCUCGUCGAUAAAUAUUAAAUGAAAUGAACUAAAGAUUUUUUUUUUCUUUUUUUGGAAAUAAGAAAAUAAAAUGUGUACCUAA